Molecule: long non-coding RNA, 845 nt
Organism: Vollenhovia emeryi
Lineage: Eukaryota; Metazoa; Arthropoda; Insecta; Hymenoptera; Formicidae
Exons: 2
Source: RefSeq, a predicted model, not a curated record
GCCGGACCCAAUAAUUUAUCGUUACAACAAACGAUAAAAGACAAUAAGUGCGUUACAUGCGAAUCGUCCGCGACCCAGGGCAGCAGCCCCGAGACAUCGUCGCCGGACCCAAUAAUUUAUCGUUACAACAAACGAUAAAAGACAAUAAGUGCGUUACAUACGAAUCGUCCGCGACUCAGGGCAACAGCCCCAAGGCGUCGUCGCGGGCAUCUCUAUCGCGAGUGCGAGACUUUAUGAUUUUGUGGCGUAUUUCGAGAUUGAACAAUAAAUAAAUCUAUUCACGAACAACACAACCUGUUUAUUACGCGAAAAGACAGCGCGAACACGAAUACUGUUCGUGUUGAUACUGAACAAUUUAGGUUAGGUCGGAGAUAGCCAAUCUUUUCCGAUGUGGCGCAAUAAAAAGAGAAAGGGAGAGAACGACGUGCUAUUUAUAUCAAAGAGUACCUGAAACAAAUAACACGAAUGCAAGCAACGUGCAAUUUAACACUAGAGGAUAUUAAACAACGGAUGAGCAGAAUGGAGGAUGCUUUGAGAAGCCGUGGUUCUGUUUCGACAAAUAACAGCGAUAGUCUUAUCGCAGAAAUGUUACCUUUAUGUACGGUUGAGAGCAUACAAAAUUUUGAUUCCUUCUUACGUGACACUGAUGAAGCAGUUAUGCAUUUCGUAAGUAUAUACAUUAAUUUAUCACUUAUAUGAUAAAUCUUUGUUACACUUUGUUACUUUGUUAAGUACAAAAUUCAAUUAUUUUAGUAGCAAUGUUAGUUUGUCAUGAAAUAGUACGUGUUACUGUAAUGAAAUGAAAGUUUUCCAAAUUUUGUUUUCUUAUAGAAGAACUUUCUGUU